Molecule: ribosomal RNA, 862 nt
Filed under: uncultured bacterium
Lineage: Bacteria
Description: bacterial SSU rRNA
Rfam family: Bacterial small subunit ribosomal RNA
Source: RNAcentral
CAAGUCGAACGGCAGCACGGGUGCUUGCACCUGGUGGCGAGUGGCGAACGGGUGAGUAAUACAUCGGAACGUACCUUAUCGUGGGGGAUAACGCAGCGAAAGUUGCGCUAAUACCGCAUACGCCCUGAGGGGGAAAGCGGGGGACCGUAAGGCCUCGCGCGAUUAGAGCGGCCGAUGUCUGAUUAGCUUGUUGGUGAGGUAAAAGCUCACCAAGGCGAUGAUCAGUAGCUGGUCUGAGAGGACGAUCAGCCACACUGGGACUGAGACACGGCCCAGACUCCUACGGGAGGCAGCAGUGGGGAAUUUUGGACAAUGGGGGCAACCCUGAUCCAGCAAUGCCGCGUGAGUGAAGAAGGCCUUCGGGUUGUAAAGCUCUUUUGUCAGGGAAGAAACAGCAGCUCUAACACAGUCUGCGAAUGACGGUACCUGAAGAAUAAGCACCGGCUAACUACGUGCCAGCAGCCGCGGUAAUACGUAGGGUGCGAGCGUUAAUCGGAAUUACUGGGCGUAAAGCGUGCGCAGGCGGUUAUACAAGACAGGCGUGAAAUCCCCGGGCUUAACCUGGGAAUGGCGUCUGUGACUGUAUAGCUAGAGUGUGUCAGAGGGGGGUGGAAUUCCACGUGUAGCAGUGAAAUGCGUAGAUAUGUGGAGGAACACCAAUGGCGAAGGCAGCCCCCUGGGAUAACACUGACGCUCAUGCACGAAAGCGUGGGGAGCAAGCAGGAUUAGAUACCCUGGUAGUCCACGCCCUAAACGAUGCUGACUAGUUGUUGGGAAUUUACAUUCUCAGUAACGUAGCUAACGCGUGAAGUCAGCCGCCUGGGGAGUACGGUCGCAGAUUAAAACUCAAAGGAAUUGACGG